RNAcentral lists this ribosomal RNA (253 nucleotides) under uncultured bacterium. Its description in RNAcentral is "partial 16S ribosomal RNA". It matches the Rfam family "Bacterial small subunit ribosomal RNA", at positions 524 to 776 of the family's 1533-position model. The record is from RNAcentral.
UACGUAGGGUGCAAGCGUUGUCCGGAAUUAUUGGGCGUGAAGAGCUCGUAGGCGGUUCGUCGCGUCGGCUGUGAAAUCCCGAGGCUCAACCUCGGGUCUGCAGUCGAUACGGGCGGACUGGAGUUCGGCAGGGGAGACUGGAAUUCCUGGUGUAGCGGUGAAAUGCGCAGAUAUCAGGAGGAACACCGGUGGCGAAGGCGGGUCUCUGGGCCGAUACUGACGCUGAGGAGCGAAAGCGUGGGGAGCGAACAGG